GACAGAGGAGCCAAGCGUUGUCCGGAUUGACUGGGCGUAAAGCGCACGCAGGCGGCGCAGCGCGUGGGGUGUGAAAGUGGCCGGCUCAACUGGUCAAAGCCACCUCAUACGGCUGGGCUCGAGCCCGUGAGAGGUCCGUGGAAUUGCCGGUGUAGUGGUGAAAUGCGUAGAGAUCGGCAGGAACACCCAGGGGGAAACCAGCGGACUGGCACGGUGCUGACGCUCAGGUGCGACAGCGUGGGGAGCGAACGGG
RNAcentral lists this ribosomal RNA (253 nucleotides) under uncultured prokaryote. Its description in RNAcentral is "partial 16S ribosomal RNA". It matches the Rfam family "Bacterial small subunit ribosomal RNA", at positions 524 to 776 of the family's 1533-position model. The record is from RNAcentral.